CUAAGCGUGUAGUGAAAUCGAUCGGCUCAACCGGUCGGCUACUGCGCGAACUGGGUCGCUAGAGCAUAUGAGGGGUAGCUGGAAUUCCUUGUGUAGGAGUGAAAUCCGUAGAUAUAAGGAGGAACACCAAUGGCGUAGGCAGGCUACUGGCAUAUUGCUGACACUGAGGCACGAAAGCGUGGGGAGCGAACCGGAUUAGAUACCCGGGUAGUCCACGCCGUAAACGAUGGAUGCUA
Molecule: ribosomal RNA, 236 nt
Filed under: uncultured Candidatus Saccharibacteria bacterium
Lineage: Bacteria; Candidatus Saccharimonadota
Description: partial 16S ribosomal RNA
Rfam family: Bacterial small subunit ribosomal RNA
Source: RNAcentral